ACUACGGGAGGCAGCAGUGGGGGAUAUUGCACAAUGGGGGGAACCCUGAUGCAGCGACGCCGCGUGGGUGAAGAAGCGCCUCGGCGCGUAAAGCCCUGUCAGCAGGGAAGAAAAUGACGGUACCUGAAGAAGAAGCCCCGGCUAACUACGUGCCAGCAGCCGCGGUAAUACGUAGGGGGCAAGCGUUAUCCGGAUUUACUGGGUGUAAAGGGGGCGCAGACGGCGAUGCAAGCCAGGAGGGAAAGCCCGGGGCCCAACCCCGGGACUGCUCGUGGAACUGCGUGGCUGGAGUGCAGGAGGGGCAGGCGGAAUUCCUGGUGUAGCGGUGAAAUGCGUAGAUAUCAGGAGGAACACCGGUGGCGAAGGCGGCCUGCUGGACUGCAACUGACGUUGAGGCCCGAAAGCGUGGGGAGCAAACAGGAUUAGAUACCCUGGUAGUC
RNAcentral lists this ribosomal RNA (440 nucleotides) under uncultured bacterium. RNAcentral's name for it is "partial 16S ribosomal RNA". It matches the Rfam family "Bacterial small subunit ribosomal RNA", at positions 338 to 795 of the family's 1533-position model. The record is from RNAcentral.